GCCCUCAGAACAUGACUGCCUAGUAUAAGCAGGUGACAAGCUUAGCAUGCUUAAUGCUUUAUACGAGAUACCCAGCUUUAUAUCUGUAAACUUGUGUUCAUGAUGUUGUUUUAUUGUGUUUAGGAGCUGCAGCCUUUAGUCUCUGUCUCCACUAUCUGAAUUUCUUGAACAGAAAAUGAGCCAAUAUACUCAUGAUAAAUAUCAAUUGUAUCAGUGCAAAAGUGCCCAUCCAGAAGCAAGGUGAGUAUAGCUCUUGCCAUUCUUGCAUAUGGUGCAAUAUAGUAGAAUUUGUAAUAAUGGGCGGCAAAUUUCAUGUCAAAAGCCAAUGGAGGAAUACAUUCUUGAGGAAUCAAUUUUCUCUUGUGAAAAUACAGGAGCUAGUAGCUACAAUUAUGUCACUGGUACUGAGAAAAGUAGAAACAAACAUGUUCUUGUGAGGACUGAAUUUUAACUAUUUCUUCCAAGCAUUAUCUAAAACUAUAGAUAAGCUGCUAACCGUAACCAUGGUGAAGUUGACCUAGCAUGUUAAUUGUCAGGAAAAAGAACAAUUAACACCAAUUAUUGUGCCUUUUAAAGUAGUGACAUGGACCACAAGUGCUCAAAUCUUUCACAUUGGCGUUCUCUCUUACCUGAUGGUUUGCUGCCACAUGAACCAAAACUGGCUAACUAAUUUUCAUAUGCUGACAGAAACAUAUUCUGUGGAGCUCGGAGCUGUUGCUGCUUCUCCUAUGUGCAUAUUGCACAACUCUUCUGAACCCCUCUACUGGCUCUCUCAGAAAUACAACCUUGAUCUGACAGAACUGAACCAUAGAUGUUUCAUUUGGUUUUUGGAAUGUGCACGCAUUUAGAAGAAUCUCACAUGCACGGUUGCAAACCAUCUAAAGUUCAACCAACAAGCUCAAUAUAGUACUGUUAGAUCCAUUCAAAUUACUCUAGCACCCAACUUAGCAACCUGAUAAUAACAGCACGCUAGCUGAUGCCUAACUCUGCAGGGACCAUACAGUUGGAGAAAAACAGGUAAUCUGAAAAUGAAUGUCUACAUUUGGCUGGCUACAAACUCAUACUCCACAGCAGCUUCUCAUAUUUUUCUCCACUUGCCUAAUACAUUGUUGUUAUAUUUUUUAGGAAGUGUUGGGCAGUCUUUGACUUCAGUCUCUGGAAUGAGGUUCACAUAACAUGGUGGGUGUGCUCUAAUCUUGGCAAGCCAUUUCUUUUGGUUUCUUAGUUCCUAGAAAUGGUUGUGUGCACAAACCUUAGUAUGUUUAACACAAAAUACUAGUAUUGCUUGCUAGGAGUGCAUUUAUGUAAUCUUUUGGACUUGUGCUUCGAUUUGAUAAACUUGUUGUAAUAAACAUGUGAAUAAUGAUGAAAAUGUGACUUGUCGUUGUAAUAUAUUGUCAUUUGUGGUUCACCAUUAUGGUUGUGAUAUAUUGUGAGGAGAUGGGUUCUGUGAUAUAUAUAUGUGAUGCUUGAUAUAUGAAUGUGUAUAUAAAUGCAAAAAAAAAGAAAAAAAUUGCCUUUUUGCCGAGGGCAAUGACCAAGGCCUUCAGCAAAGAAGUUUUUUUUAAAAAAAAUUAAAAAAUCCUUUCCCGAGGGCCCUGGCUAUAGCCCUCGGUAAAGAAUUUUUUAAAAAAUCAUGAAAUUUCUUUUGCCGAGGGCUGACUCUCAGCAAAGGUUUUUUAGAAAAAUAAAAAAUUUCUUUGCCGAGGGCUAUGGAUG
RNAcentral lists this long non-coding RNA (1719 nucleotides) under Sorghum bicolor (sorghum). RNAcentral describes it as "long non-coding RNA (SBIC_LNC002148)". The record is from RNAcentral. Lineage: Eukaryota; Viridiplantae; Streptophyta; Magnoliopsida; Poales; Poaceae.